GGGGGCGUCCCGGAAUUCGACUUUUCAUCGUAGGGCGGGUCUGCAUGCCGAAGACGACACUUGGCUUCGUAAAAAUGUGUCAAAAAAACAUAAAUGGCGAAGAAUACGCUAUUGCCGCUUAAUUGACGCGGCACGUCCGUUCCCCAACUCCCGAUAGGGGAAGCCGGGCGUCGACAUCGGGAAAAGGGGGCAAGCGCGUUGCGCGCCGGCGUUUGCCCGCCUCCACGGCGCGAUGCUCGGCGGGCGGUUGCCGUUUCCAACCCCGCCGAAAAGACUCAAUAACGGCUAAGCAUGUAGUAUGGCGCGCGCGAAAGUGUCAAGGACGCGGGUUCGACUCCCGCCGCCUCCACCA
RNAcentral lists this transfer-messenger RNA (352 nucleotides) under Opitutales. Its description in RNAcentral is "QALA01 sp003343565 Standard tmRNA". It matches the Rfam family "transfer-messenger RNA". From Rfam's summary of the family: Bacterial tmRNA, also known as 10Sa RNA or SsrA, is named for its dual tRNA and mRNA-like properties. Its role is to liberate the mRNA from a stalled ribosome. Lineage: Bacteria; Pseudomonadati; Verrucomicrobiota; Opitutia. The record is from RNAcentral. RNAcentral also lists the same sequence under 1 other name.